UACGGAGGGGGCGAGCGUUAUUCGGAAUUAUUGGGCGUAAAGGGCGCGUAGGCGGCUUGAUGUGUCAAAGGUGAAAUCCCUCGGCUCAACUGAGGAACUGCCUUUGAAACUGUCUGGCUUGAGGCCGGGAGAGGGUAGCGGAAUUCCCAGUGUAGAGGUGAAAUUCGUAGAUAUCGGGAGGAACACCAGUGGCGAAGGCGGCGACCUGGGCCAAUAUUGACGCUGAGGUGCGAAAGCGUGGGGAGCAAACAGG
This 253-nucleotide ribosomal RNA is filed under the name uncultured bacterium. RNAcentral describes it as "partial 16S ribosomal RNA". It matches the Rfam family "Bacterial small subunit ribosomal RNA", at positions 524 to 776 of the family's 1533-position model. The record is from RNAcentral.